Molecule: long non-coding RNA, 1006 nt
Organism: Triplophysa dalaica
Lineage: Eukaryota; Metazoa; Chordata; Actinopteri; Cypriniformes; Nemacheilidae
Exons: 2
Source: RefSeq, a predicted model, not a curated record
UACGAGUUUUUAAUGUAUAAAACUAUUACUGUAAAAAAAAUGCAAAAGUAUGCAAAAUUCGGCUGUUCGCAUUAGGUUUGAAAGUAACGUUACAAUCUAGCUUCGUUAGCUUUGUAUAGCUAGUCUGUAACGUUAUGCCCACGUUGUUCUAAUUUACAGCUUUUUAAUCAUUUAAACUUCCUUUUUGGUGAACAUUUCCUCUGAAAUGUGUGACUUGUGUGAGGAAUUUAGUUCAGUAACUUACGCAACUUGAUAUUAGUUUAAGGUCGACACGAGAGCGUCGUGUCAAAAGCAAACAUCCAGCUCAUUUUUUUUAUAAAUACCGCUAAUGUUCGGUGACGGAACUUAGAUUUAAGAGUCUUUUAGACGAGAAUGUUGUUGUUAAGAACACAAAUACGUGAUUUAUAUAUAAACAUAACGCCUCUUUGAGAUUUUGUUAAGACGCUGUCGGAGGUGUGAGCUUCAGGCUGUCAGCGGUCGUGUCUCCGUGGAGAGCAGCUCUAUUUCGGCCAUUGCUUCGGGAAUAGCCGCUGGCUCUUAUAACGUUAGUGACUAACAAUGCGAUAUAGUUAAUUUUGGGUAUAUGAGACGAACAAUUGUUGCUCUUUUUAGACUUAUACUUAUUCCCGAGUGUGUCGAAUUAGUGAAGGGUUGUUUUAACGUUUAUAAUAUUAUUUUUUAAGACUGUAUUUCGCUUUCUGUACUAGAUCCCACUCUUCUUUUUUCCCCCACUGACAGCGUGCAGAAUAACAGCUAAUAUUAAUGGAUCAUUCUAUUCAAGAGAAUGUCAACUGGAACUUGGAUGUUUUCAUAACAGGCUUAAAGAUGAACAAAUUGAUAAAGAAACCCUCCUGCUGGACAUCCAAUUCCAAAAGUGCACGCCACACUGUUGUCUACAACUCCCAGGAAAAGAAUCCUCUUUAGUAAGACUGCUCCGUGGAUAUUUUAGGUUAAGCAGUGCUGAAACCGAACGAACUAACACUAUUUAAAAUGUUUUGUGAGUUUA